Molecule: ribosomal RNA, 490 nt
Filed under: uncultured bacterium
Lineage: Bacteria
Description: partial 16S ribosomal RNA
Rfam family: Bacterial small subunit ribosomal RNA
Source: RNAcentral
AAUGAACGUUGGCGGCAUGGAUUAGGCAUGCAAGUCGAGCGAGAAGAGUUUUGAAGCUUGCUUUAGAACUCGGACAGCGGCGAAAGGGAGAGUAACGCGUAGUUAUGUGCCCUAGGGUCCGGAAUAGCCACGGGAAACUGUGGGUAAUGCCGGAUAACAUCCCCGGAUCAAAGGUGUGAUUCCGCCCUAGGAGCAGACUGCGUCCUACUAGCUAGUUGGUGGGGUAAUGGCCCACCAAGGCAAUGAUGGGUAGCGGGUGUGAGAGCAUGACCCGUCGCACUGGGACUGAGACACUGCCCAGACACCUUCGGGUGGCUGCAGUCGAGAAUCUUUGGCAAUGGGCGAAAGCCUGACCGAGCGAUGCCGCGUGCGGGAUGAAGGCCCUCGGGUUGUAAACCGCUGUCGUAGGGGAGGAAGGUUCCGUGAAGAGCGGAAUUUGACCUAUCCUAGGAGGAAGUACGGGCUAAGUUCGUGCCAGCCGCCGCAGUAA